Molecule: ribosomal RNA, 471 nt
Filed under: uncultured bacterium
Lineage: Bacteria
Description: bacterial SSU rRNA
Rfam family: Bacterial small subunit ribosomal RNA
Source: RNAcentral
UCGCGAAUCAUUCACAAUGGACGCAAGUCUGAUGAUGCCACGCCGCGUGCGGGAUGAAGGCCCUUUGGGUUGUAAACCGCUGUCAAGGGAGGGGAAACACCUAGCGUUAACAGCGCUAGGCUUGACUGCUCCCUAAAGGAAGCCCCGGCAAAACAUGUGCCAGCAGCCGCGGUAAUACAUGUGGGGCAAGCGUUGUUCGGAAUUACUGGGCAUAAAGGGUGCGUAGGCGGUUUGUUAAGUCACUGGUGAAAGUUUGCGGCCCAACCGUAAAAUUGCCUGUGAUACUGGCGAACUUGAGUGCGUGAGGGGUAGGGGGAACGAGCAGUGUAGCGGUGAAAUGCGUAGAUAUUGCUCGGAAGGCCGGAGCCGAAGGGGCCCUACUGGUACGUAACUGACGCUCAUGCACGAAAGCGUGGGGAGCAAACAGGAUUAGAUACCCCCGUAGUCCCUGAGCGGGCUGGCAAGGCGCAU